RNAcentral lists this ribosomal RNA (440 nucleotides) under uncultured bacterium. RNAcentral's name for it is "partial 16S ribosomal RNA". It matches the Rfam family "Bacterial small subunit ribosomal RNA", at positions 338 to 795 of the family's 1533-position model. The record is from RNAcentral.
CCUACGGGGGGCUGCAGUGGGGAAUAUUGCACAAUGGGGGAAACCCUGAUGCAGCGACGCCGCGUGAGUGAAGAAGGAAUUCGUUAUGUAAAGCUCUAUCAGCAGGGAAGAAAAUGACGGUAACUGAGUAAGAAGCCCCGGCGAACUACGGGCCAGCAGCCGCGGUAAUACGUAGGGGGCAAGCGUUAUCCGGAUUUACUGGGUGUAAAGGGAGCGUAGACGGCAGUGCAAGUCUGGAGUGAAAGGCGGGGGCUCAACCCCCGGACUGCUCUGGAAACUGUACGGCUGGAGUGCAGGAGAGGUAAGUGGAAUUCCUCGUGUAGCGGUGAAAUGCGUAGAUAUUAGGAGGAACACCAGUGGCGAAGGCGGCCUGCUUGACGAUGCCUGACGUUGAGGCUCGAAAGCGUGGGGAGCAAACCGGAUUAGCUACCCGUGUAGUC